This 510-nucleotide ribosomal RNA is filed under the name uncultured bacterium. RNAcentral's name for it is "bacterial SSU rRNA". It matches the Rfam family "Bacterial small subunit ribosomal RNA", at positions 15 to 518 of the family's 1533-position model. The record is from RNAcentral.
GAUUCUGGCUCAGAUUGAACGCUGGCGGCAGGCUUAACACAUGCAAGUCGAGCGGGGAUAGGGUGCUUGCACCUGAUUCCUAGCGGCGGACGGGUGAGUAAUGCUUAGGAAUCUGCCUAUUAGUGGGGGACAACGUUCCGAAAGGGACGCUAAUACCGCAUACGUCCUACGGGAGAAAGCAGGGGAUCUUCGGACCUUGCGCUAAUAGAUGAGCCUAAGUCGGAUUAGCUAGUUGGUGGGGUAAAGGCCUACCAAGGCGACGAUCUGUAGCGGGUCUGAGAGGAUGAUCCGCCACACUGGGACUGAGACACGGCCCAGACUCCUACGGGAGGCAGCAGUGGGGAAUAUUGGACAAUGGGGGCAACCCUGAUCCAGCCAUGCCGCGUGUGUGAAGAAGGCCUUUUGGUUGUAAAGCACUUUAAGCGAGGAGGAGGCUUACCUGGUUAAUACCCGGGAUAAGUGGACGUUACUCGCAGAAUAAGCACCGGCUAACUCUGUGCCAGCCGCCGC